GGAGUUUUUGCUUACUUUCAUGUCUAUAUGCUUUCUCCAGAAGCACCUUUGUAAGACACAGACUCAGCUAUGAUUGAAGCUGACUCUCUACUCUUGUUUUCACCACCUUUUAAAGUCCAAAUCCAGGAGCUUUGCAGUGCAGUAAGGAAAUGUUUUUUACCAACCUAAGGUGCGUAUGAAUGUGGUAGAUAGAGAUGUAGUUCAUCUGAAGGUAUUUACUAUCGUGACUGUGAAGUGAUAUGAAUAUUUUAGUUAUCAGCAGUUUAUAGGCAUUCAAAAUAGGUUGUGCGAUGAUUACAUUUGAUAUAUUUGUGGAGCAACGGUAGAAAUAUCAUUAAUAAUACCUUUUAAGAUAUAUCCUGUUUUUUAAAGAAGUGACUUUAGUUUGGAUCAGUUGGAGACCUCUGGAACAACUUAAAGAUAAAACUGGAAAGAUAUUUUCCCUUCUUCAGUAUACUGUCAAUAUUGGGUCUCCUUAGUCAAGCAAAAGUUUGCUGUUGAAAAUAACUUUGUGAAGAUACAAUCAAAGCAAAAGUAAUACUGAAAUACAUCAUGUUAAUUCUUACAAGACAGCAUUCUUUCUGGAGCUAUUCUGAAGGGCAUUUCAGCAGGAACAAGAAGAUUAGGUGAUGAAGAAUAAAAAAAAAUGUUUCUGUUUUCUUGACAUUACAAGGUUUGGUUUUUUUGUAAAAUAAAUAUAUUGACUGAUGAAGGUCCUGAUUUUAUAAAUGUCAGAAUAAAGUGAUAUGUUACCUUGGGAUUUCCAGAUUUUCCAAAACCCAAUACCUUUCAUACUUGUAUUUCUCUAGGUUUCCUGAAAAAAAACAGAUGAAUGAGACUGCAUGUGUUCUCUGGGAUAAUGUGUCUGUCAGGACCCCUAUAUUCUCCCUCAAAAGAGGCCCUGCAUGGUAGAUGUUACCUCUUCACCCAAAGUCUCUUUGCAUGAUCAGAAGAGAGAACUCAGGCUCCUUAAUGCUGCUUGGAGGCUGAUCUCUACCCUCCUCCCUCCAUGCCAGAGUUACAGUCAGUGGGCAACACUGGGCACCACAUAGUC
Molecule: long non-coding RNA, 1054 nt
Filed under: Manacus vitellinus (golden-collared manakin)
Lineage: Eukaryota; Metazoa; Chordata; Aves; Passeriformes; Pipridae
Description: lncRNA (ENSMVIG00005003596.1)
Source: RNAcentral